RNAcentral lists this ribosomal RNA (406 nucleotides) under uncultured bacterium. Its description in RNAcentral is "partial 16S ribosomal RNA". It matches the Rfam family "Bacterial small subunit ribosomal RNA", at positions 30 to 526 of the family's 1533-position model. The record is from RNAcentral.
AUUGAACGCUGGCGGCAGGCCUAACACAUGCAAGUCGAACGCGUGGCGGACGGGUGAAUAAUGUCUGGGAAACUGCCUGAUGGAGGGGGAUCACUACUGAAAACGGUAGAUAAUACCGCAUCCCAUCGGAUGUGCCCAGAGGGGUUUAGCUAGUAGGUGGGGUAAAGGCUCACCUAGGCGACUAUCCCUAGCUGGUCUGAGAGGAUGACCAGCCAAACUGGAAAUGAGACACGGUCCAGACUCCUACGGGAGGCAGCAGUGGGGAAUAUUGCACAAUGGGCGCAAGCCUGAUACAGCCAUGCCGCGUGUAUGAAGAAGGCCUUCGGGUUGUAAAGUACUUUCAGCGGGGAGGCGUUACCCGCAGAAGAAGCACCGGCUAACUCCGUGCCAGCAGCCGCGGUAAUAC